Small nuclear RNA from Trifolium pratense (red clover), 105 nucleotides. Lineage: Eukaryota; Viridiplantae; Streptophyta; Magnoliopsida; Fabales; Fabaceae. The record is from RefSeq and is a predicted model, not a curated record.
GUCCCUUCGCGGACAUCCGAUAAAAUUUUAACAAUACAGAGAAAAUUAACAUGGCCCCUGCACAAGGAUGAACGGACAAAAAUAAAUAAACUUUCACAAAUACAU